UAGGGAAUAUUGGGCAAUGGACGAGAGUCUGACCCAGCCAUGCCGCGUGCAGGAAGACGGCGUUAUGCGUUGUAAACUGCUUUUAUCUGGGAAGAAAAAGUCCAUGCGUGGAAAAUUGCCGGUACCAGAUGAAUAAGCACCGGCUAACUCCGUGCCAGCAGCCGCGGUAAUACGGAGGGUGCAAGCGUUGUCCGGAUUUAUUGGGUUUAAAGGGUGCGUAGGCGGCUCUUUAAGUCAGUGGUGAAAGACCCCGGCUCAACCGGGGCAGUGCCAUUGAUACUGGGGAGCUUGAGUGUUGGAGAGGUACAUGGAAUUGAUGGUGUAGCGGUGAAAUGCAUAGAUACCAUCAGGAACACCGAUAGCGAAGGCAUUGUACUGGCCAACAACUGACGCUGAGGCACGAAAGCAUGGGUAGCGAACAGG
Molecule: ribosomal RNA, 423 nt
Filed under: uncultured prokaryote
Also listed under: 1 other name
Description: bacterial SSU rRNA
Rfam family: Bacterial small subunit ribosomal RNA
Source: RNAcentral